UACGGAGGAUGCGAGCGUUAUCCGGAUUUAUUGGGUUUAAAGGGUGCGUAGGCGGGCUUUUAAGUCAGCGGUAAAAAUUCGGGGCUCAACCCCGUCCGGCCGUUGAAACUGGGGGCCUUGAGUGGGCGAGAAGUAUGCGGAAUGCGUGGUGUAGCGGUGAAAUGCAUAGAUAUCACGCAGAACUCCGAUUGCGAAGGCAGCAUACCGGCGCCCGACUGACGCUGAGGCACGAAAGCGUGGGGAUCGAACAGG
RNAcentral lists this ribosomal RNA (252 nucleotides) under uncultured bacterium. Its description in RNAcentral is "partial 16S ribosomal RNA". It matches the Rfam family "Bacterial small subunit ribosomal RNA", at positions 524 to 776 of the family's 1533-position model. The record is from RNAcentral.